RNAcentral lists this ribosomal RNA (274 nucleotides) under uncultured bacterium. Its description in RNAcentral is "partial 16S ribosomal RNA". It matches the Rfam family "Bacterial small subunit ribosomal RNA", at positions 523 to 796 of the family's 1533-position model. The record is from RNAcentral.
AUACGGAGGGUGCAAGCGUUACUCGGAAUCACUGGGCGUAAAGAGAGUGUAGGUGGUUUAUUAAGUCGGAUGUGAAAUCCCGGGGCUCAACCUCGGAACUGCAUUCGAUACUGAUAGGCUAGAGUUUGGGAGGGGUAAGCGGAAUUCCGUGUGUAGCAGUGAAAUGCGUAGAUAUACGGAGGAACACCUGAGGCGAAGGCGGCUUACUGGACCAAUACUGACACUGAGACUCGAAAGCGUGGGUAGCAAACAGGAUUAGAUACCCUAGUAGUCC